Molecule: ribosomal RNA, 359 nt
Filed under: uncultured eukaryote
Lineage: Eukaryota
Description: partial 18S ribosomal RNA
Rfam family: Eukaryotic small subunit ribosomal RNA
Source: RNAcentral
CAAUAGCAUAUAUUAACGUUGUUGCAGUUGAAAAGCUCGUAGUUGAACUUUUGGUAGGAGCGACCUGGCUUUGGGCGCAUGCCCUUGUUUGCCGUGUGUCGUAUCUGGCCAUCCUUUUCCGUUUCGGCGGGAAUCUUUUACUGUGAGUAAACUGGAGUGCUCAAAACAAGACGUUUGUUUGGUACAUUAAAGCAUGGAAUAAUAAGAUAGGACCUGGUUACUAUUUUGUUGGUUUGCAUAGCUAGGUAAUGAUUAACAGGGACAGUUGGGGGUAUUCGUAUUUAAUUGUCAGAGGUGAAAUUCUUGGAUUUAUGAAAGACGAACGACUGCGAAAGCAUUUACCAAGGAUGUUUNCAUUA